UACGUAGGGCGCAAGCGUUGUCCGGAAUUAUUGGGCGUAAAGAGCUCGUAGGCGGUCUGUCGCGUCGGAUGUGAAAGCCCGGGGCUUAACCCCGGGUCUGCAUUCGAUACGGGCAGACUAGAGUGUGGUAGGGGAGAAUGGAAUUCCCGGUGUAGCGGUGAAAUGCGCAGAUAUCGGGAGGAACACCGGUGGCGAAGGCGGUUCUCUGGGCCUUACCUGAAGCUGAGGAGCGAAAGCGUGGGGAGCGAACAGG
This 253-nucleotide ribosomal RNA is filed under the name uncultured bacterium. RNAcentral's name for it is "partial 16S ribosomal RNA". It matches the Rfam family "Bacterial small subunit ribosomal RNA", at positions 524 to 776 of the family's 1533-position model. The record is from RNAcentral.